RNAcentral lists this ribosomal RNA (89 nucleotides) under Clostridium chromiireducens. The record is from RNAcentral. Lineage: Bacteria; Bacillati; Bacillota; Clostridia; Eubacteriales; Clostridiaceae.
UCCUUCCCAUUCCGAACAGGAAAGUUAAGGUCUAUAGCGCCGAUGGUACUGCACGGGCGACUGUGUGGCAGAGUAGGACGUUGCGAGGU